UCUUUUGCUCAUGAAGGAGAGAGACGUCUUCAAAACGCAAUUAAGGGCAUACGGUAAAACGUUUGAGCAGCAGUUGUCGCGCGCAAAUCAGAUUGCGUGAAGCUCUUGUUUGAUGCGGGACACACAUGCUAAAUUGUCUU
This is a non-coding RNA of Caenorhabditis elegans, 140 nucleotides long. The record is from Ensembl. NCBI's taxonomy places the organism in Eukaryota, Metazoa, Nematoda, Chromadorea, Rhabditida, Rhabditidae.